Molecule: long non-coding RNA, 1048 nt
Filed under: Felis catus (domestic cat)
Lineage: Eukaryota; Metazoa; Chordata; Mammalia; Carnivora; Felidae
Description: lncRNA (ENSFCAG00000051808.1)
Source: RNAcentral
GCACAUGCUUGGGAGUGUCAAUACUAAGAGUAUCCUGGGGAACAGGGCAAACCAACUCCUUUUCUGUUUCUCCUUUUCAGCAAAGGAGCAGAGGUGCUACCUCGACCCGAAUGUCUGGUCUUUGGAGAAGGAAAAUUUGAAGUGGAUUGGACUUAAGCCUGAGCCAUCACCUACCUGAUUCAGCUUGUGAGGUUUACUGCUGCGUAAAGGUGUUUUUGUCCAGAUAUGCAAAGAUACCUAGAAGGUUCACAGAUGGGCACCCUCUCCUUCUCAGGAAAAUGAACUAAUAUUGAGUGCUUCUUGCCAUCCAGGGACUCCGCACCCAUAAUCUCAUCUCUACCUCAUCAAUCACAUCUAUCUCAAGCCUGCUGGCAUCCAACACAAGGUUAUGCUUCUGUUUUUAUUCUUUCAAAAUGAGAGUGAGAGACAGGGAGAGGGAGAGGGAGAGGGAGAGGGAGUCAAAAAUGGUGUCCUACCAUCUCCCCUUACUAAUCCUCUCCACUCCAGGCCUUUCCACAUCUGAACGAAAUAUCUGACCCUUCUCAGCCGGACCCACCCCUAACAUCUGUGGGGCCUGGGCAAGACUGCGACUGGAGAUCCAUGUACCAUAUGUCUAAAUAUUUGAAAGUUAGAACAUAUCUCUAAACACAGACACUUCAUGCCUGGAUCAGAUAUAUUCACCGAGACUUAUAUACAAGAACCAAUUAAAGUAGCAUAAACUGGAAACGGUGUAAAUGUUCAACAAUGGGGCAUUUUGAUUAAUUAUAGUAUCCAUUCAUAUAAUAGAAUAACAAUGAGCUAUUAAAAAUUGUUAAUAAUAUAGGGGCGCCUGGGUGGCUCAGUAGGUUAAGUGUCCGACUUCAGCUCAGGUCACAAUCUCAUGGUCCGUGAGUUCGAGCCCCGCAUCAGGCUCUGGGCUGAUGGCUCAGAGCCUGGAGCCUGCUUCCCAUUCUGUGUCCCCCCCCUCUCUCUGCCCCUCCCCUGUUCAUGUUCUGUCUCUCUCUGUCUCAAAAAUAAAUAAAUGUAAAAAAAAAUUUAAAAAAAUUAU